This 75-nucleotide transfer RNA is filed under the name Bacteroidota bacterium. Its description in RNAcentral is "Bacteroidetes bacterium tRNA-Val". It matches the Rfam family "tRNA". From Rfam's summary of the family: Transfer RNA (tRNA) molecules are approximately 80 nucleotides in length. Lineage: Bacteria; Pseudomonadati; Bacteroidota. RNAcentral also lists the same sequence under 3 other names. The record is from RNAcentral.
GGGCUAUUAACUCAGUUGGUUUAGAGUGUCACCUUGACAGGGUGGAAGUCACUGGUUCGAAUCCAGUAUAGCCCA